RNAcentral lists this ribosomal RNA (547 nucleotides) under Mesomycoplasma ovipneumoniae. RNAcentral's name for it is "bacterial SSU rRNA". It matches the Rfam family "Bacterial small subunit ribosomal RNA", at positions 353 to 899 of the family's 1533-position model. RNAcentral also lists the same sequence under 1 other name. Lineage: Bacteria; Bacillati; Mycoplasmatota; Mycoplasmoidales; Metamycoplasmataceae. The record is from RNAcentral.
AGUAAGGAAUAUUCCACAAUGAGCGAAAGCUUGAUGGAGCGACACAGAGUGCAGGAUGAAGUCUUUAGGGAUGUAAACUGCUGUUGUAAGGGAAGAAAAAACUAGAUAGGAAAUGAUUUAGUCUUGACGGUACCUUAUUAGAAAGUGACGGCAAACUAUGUGCCAGCAGCCGCGGUAAUACAUAGGUCGCAAGCGUUAUCCGGAAUUAUUGGGCGUAAAGCGUCCGCAGGUUUUUUGUUAAGUUUAAGGUUAAAUGCUAAAGCUCAACUUUAGUUCGCUUUAGAUACUGACAAAAUAGAAUUAUGAAGAGGUUAGCGGAAUUCCUAGUGGAGCGGUGGAAUGCGUAGAUAUUAGGAAGAACACCAAUAGGCGAAGGCAGCUAACUGGUCAUAUAUUGACACUAAUGGACGAAAGCGUGGGGAGCAAACAGGAUUAGAUACCCUGGUAGUCCACGCCGUAAACGAUGAUCAUUAGUUGGUGGCAAAAGUCACUAGCACAGCUAACGCGUUAAAUGAUCCGCCUGAGUAGUAUGCUCGCAAGAGUGAAA